CCCGACAUACAAAACAGUAUCUUCCUGUGAGGGGCCAGAGAAUAGGCAGCACCUGGCUGCCCUGCACAAUUUGGAAGGCACUAGGAGGGACCUGUCAACCUGCACUCACUCACUCACCGGCGGGCCCCUUUGGGAAGAGCUGUUGCUCUUUGGCCCCAGGAAUCUUCUAUUUCUGCACCUGAGUGCCAGGCAAUUGUGGGGCCCCAUUAACCUACUCCACAAAGCGUAGGGGGCCUUGCUCUCGGCACUGGGCAUGCUCCCUCAGCACAUACAACAAAGAAGUCCCCCUCCCACUGAUUCUAGCAGGAGGCUGUUGGGGGGCAGUCAUGACACAGGCAUAUACAGUGUGUCAGAUGUGUCACAGCCCGGAGAGGGGAUGAGGAGAGCGCAGUGUUACUUCCUAGAGCAUGGCCCUGGGGAGCCUCCCACUAGGCUGACAUAUGGGCAGCCGUCUGGGAGCUUGACACUGGCAGAGGGGAAGAGCAUUCCAGGCAGACAAGAGUCAGUGCAAAGACCCCAAAGCAAGCAUCAAGGAGGCUGGGGGCUGCUGCAGAUCUGAUGAGGGGAUGGCAGGGGCAGAGCAGGCCUGAGAACACUGGCCUCCACUCUGAAUGAAACAGGGAUCCCCAGGCUGGGCACAGUGGCUCACGCCUGUAAUCUCGGCACUUUGGGAGGCCGAGGCGGGCGGAUCACGAGAUCAGGAGAUCGAGACCAUCCUGGUCAACAUGGUGAAACCCCAUCUCUACUAAAAAUACAUAAAUUAGUUGGGUGUGGUGGCGAGCGCCUGUAGUCCCGCUACUCGGGAGGCUGACGCAGGAGAAUCGCUUGAACCCGGGAGGCGGAGGUUGCAGUGAGCCGAGAUCGCGCUACCGCACUCCAGCCUGGGGACAGAGCAAGACUCUUUCUCAGAAAAAAAAAGAAAAAGAAAAAAGAAAAAGAAAGAAACAGGGAGCCCUUUUUGGGUGUCAGUGCCUGGUCUCAACUCCAUAGCUAUGGUGGAAGGUAAAGCAGUUUACCUUUUAACUACAUGAACAAGCAUGGCGGUGUUCCAGUUGAACUCCUUAGGAAACCGACAUUUUAAUUUUAUUUAUUUUUUUGAGACGGAGUCUUGCUCUGUCACCCAGACUGGAGUGCAGUGGCGCGAUCUCACCUCACUGCAACCUCCGCCUCCCGGGUUCAAGCGAUUCUUCUGCCUCAGUCUCCCGAGUAUCUGGGAUUACAGGAGCCCACCACCACGUCUGGCUAAUUUUUUAUUUUUUUUCAGUAGAGACGGGGUUUCUCCACGUUGGCCAGGCUGGUCUCGAACUCCUGAUCUCAGGUGAUCCACCCGCCUCGGCCUCCCAAAGUGCUGGGAUUACAGGCGUGAGCCACCGUGCCCGGCCGAUAUUUGAAAGUCAUAUACUUUUCAUAUAUCCUAAAAUACUGUUUUAAUUCUCCCCCAACCUCUUAAAAACGAGAAAAGCAUUCUUAGCUCAGGCACCAUAGAAAACCCGGCUGCAGGCUGGACGUGGACUUUGGAACAGUCGUGCCGGUGAAGGGGCACAGCCGCGGGGCAGGGGCGGGCUCCGGGCAAAGGCGGCCGGGAUAACUCCACGCUCCCGCUCCAGCCGGUGACCGCGACGCGGGCUCCUCUCACUCUCACACUCAGGCGGAGAAAAUGCCGAAAGCCGUGUCACCAACGGGGAACCUCAGGGCCACAUUCAGCAUGCAGAGUUUAUUUGGUCUGCUCAGACAUUUGUGUUAGGAAAUAACACAUUAAAAGUGCACAUUUCCUUCAGACCCUGAGAGGCGAGCGAGUCCCGUGCGCUCCGCACCGCCAGCCCCGGCCCCACGCCCGCCCAGAGGGCCGCCCUCCUCCCGCCGACCCGGCUCGGGGCUUAGGCGUUAAUCCAGACCCCCGGGGGGGCCGCGCGGGGAGCCCGGAUCGCCUUAGGGUCAAGGGC
RNAcentral lists this long non-coding RNA (1943 nucleotides) under Pongo abelii (Sumatran orangutan). RNAcentral's name for it is "lincRNA". The record is from RNAcentral. Lineage: Eukaryota; Metazoa; Chordata; Mammalia; Primates; Hominidae.